Molecule: ribosomal RNA, 253 nt
Filed under: uncultured bacterium
Lineage: Bacteria
Description: partial 16S ribosomal RNA
Rfam family: Bacterial small subunit ribosomal RNA
Source: RNAcentral
UACAGGGGGUGCAAACGUUGCUCGGAAUUAUUGGGCGUAAAGCGCGCGUAGGCGGCUACUUAAGUCGGAUGUGAAAGCCCUUGGCUCAACUGAGGAAGUGCACCCGAAACUGAGUGGCUUGAGUACCAAAGAGGGUCGCGGAAUUCCCGGUGUAGAGGUGAAAUUCGUAGAUAUCGGGAGGAACACCGGUGGCGAAGGCAGCUCUCUGGGACGGUACUGACGCUGAGACGCGAAAGCGUGGGGAGCGAACAGG